GGCCCUUCGUUUGGUGUUAAAGAUGGAGGGUCUGGCCUGCCCAGUGACGGUUUUGUUAAACGGCCGCGGUAUUUUAACCGUGCGAAGGUAGCGUAAUAAUUUGCCUAUUAAUUGUGGGCUAGUAUGAACGGCUUGACGAGGGUGGGACUGUCUCUUGGUGGAGUAUAUGGAAUUUAAUUUUUAGGUGAAGAGGCCUAAAUAUAAAUAAGGGACGAUAAGACCCCGUCGAGCUUUAGCGGAGCUUUGAGGAGGAGACAGAAGUAGUUUAUAUAUUCUGUUGUAUCGAAGUGAAUCUUUGGUUGGGGCGAUCGGAAAGCAUGGAAAACCUUUUGUUGAGAGUACGGGUUUAUGGAUUAAUGAUCUGGCUUAUGUGUGCAGAUAGGAAGAACAAGUUACCGCGGGGAUAACAGCGUAAUCCUUUUGGAGAGCUCUUAUUGAGAAAAGGGUUUGCGACCUCGAUGUUGGACUAAGAUAACCAAAUGGUGUAGCAGCUUUUUAGGGUUGGUCUGUUCGACCAUUAAAAUCUUACA
This 530-nucleotide ribosomal RNA is filed under the name Fissurella virescens. RNAcentral describes it as "partial large subunit ribosomal RNA". It matches the Rfam family "Bacterial large subunit ribosomal RNA", at positions 1816 to 2600 of the family's 2925-position model. Lineage: Eukaryota; Metazoa; Mollusca; Gastropoda; Lepetellida; Fissurellidae. The record is from RNAcentral.